AGGGUGAACGCUGGCGGCGUGCCUAGCACAUGCAAGUCGAGCGGUGCAGUUUGAAGCUUCGGUGGAAAGCUGCAUAGCGGCGGACGGGUGAGGAAAACGUAGGAACGUGCCCCUUGGAGUUGGAUAGCCACGGGAAACUGUGGGUAAACCGACAUAGACUCGAGAGAGUAAAGGCCGAAAGGCGCCAAGGGAGCGGCCUGCGGCCCAUCAGGUAGUUGGUAGUGUAAAGGACUACCAAGCCGACGACGGGUAGCCGGUCUGAGAGGAUGGCCGGCCACAAGGGCACUGAGAGACGGGCCCUACUCCUACGGGAGGGCAGCAGUGGGGGAGUUUUGGUACAAUGGGCGAAAGCCUGAUCCAGCGACGCCGCGUGGAGGACGAAGCCCUUCGGGGUGUAAACUCCUUUUCUCAGGGAAAAAGGAAUGAUGGUACCUGAGGAAUAAGCCCCGGCUAACUACGUG
This 461-nucleotide ribosomal RNA is filed under the name uncultured bacterium. RNAcentral describes it as "bacterial SSU rRNA". It matches the Rfam family "Bacterial small subunit ribosomal RNA", at positions 26 to 507 of the family's 1533-position model. The record is from RNAcentral.